This is a non-coding RNA of Musa acuminata subsp. malaccensis (wild Malaysian banana), 111 nucleotides long. NCBI's taxonomy places the organism in Eukaryota, Viridiplantae, Streptophyta, Magnoliopsida, Zingiberales, Musaceae. The record is from Rfam.
UAGUUACUGUGAUGUUGGCUCGGUUCACUCGGAGUUCACUACAAAGGCACUGCAAGGAAUGUCUUCAGACCUUUUUUCUGAUUGAGCCGUGCCAAUAUCUUAGUACUCUUU